Long non-coding RNA from Sinocyclocheilus grahami, 248 nucleotides. RefSeq lists it as uncharacterized. The record is from RefSeq and is a predicted model, not a curated record. Lineage: Eukaryota; Metazoa; Chordata; Actinopteri; Cypriniformes; Cyprinidae. The transcript has 3 exons.
AUGUUUGAAUACGAUAAAACCAAAACUUUGUCAGACAGCACCCACAGACAGUUGGUUAACAUGCUCAUUGCCGACAUGAUUGAAGCUCAUGGAAGAACUCCUCCACAAACUGUGCAGACUAAGUAUGCUCUAGGUAUUGUCACUUUGUUUCCUAACCUGGAGGAUCCAUAUUCUAAAAACGGAUAUGAGCAUUUCUACGAUGCGUCUAGCGGCACUGGGUACCUGGCCUGGCGCUUAAAAACUGUAAA